ACUCAUCAAUCAGCACGGAACUCAGCAGCGAGAUAUUUUGCCUGCUGGUUGAAAGGUGAAAGCGAUGGAUGAUGUAUGAUAUGUCUAAAACUUUGUAUCUUUGCUACAACUAUCUUCAACCCCACUGCUCAGGGCCUCAGUUGCCACUUCCAAGUUCCUUUGCGAGCUAUGUGAGAUCCUGAGUUCCGGCUGCUCCAUCCAAAUCCCCCCCAUAAGAGAAACAGAAAACUCUUGUUCAUCAGAUGCAAAUGAUCAAAUGAUCACAGGUUAACAGUUGUAUGUUUCUUCGUAGUAAGUAAUCUCUUUUUGGCUAGCAGUUAGCUCUUUGAUGUGAUGGUGGCGUGGAAGAUAGAGGUGUUCGUGCUGGAGAUGGUGUGGGUGAUGCUCAGCGGCUGGCUCUCCUCCUGCCUCGCCGUCGCCGACGACGUCGCGGCGGCGCUCAGGCAGGUGACGUCUCCGUCUAGUCGUCUGAGCCUUUCAUAUCAGUAGAAAUUGUAGGAUUGGAUGAACUCUGUGUGUGUCUAUAUAUAUAUAUAUACCAUGUCUGCGCUUGUUAUUUGAUUUUGAACUCGGUUUCUGUCGGCUUUUAAUUCAUUUUAUAUGACAUGAUUUGAGCUAAAUUAAGAUACUCUCUCUGUUUCAAAAUAUAGAAACCCAGUACUGAAUGUUAAACUACUUCGAAUCUGGA
This is a long non-coding RNA of Oryza brachyantha (malo sina), 688 nucleotides long. RefSeq lists it as uncharacterized. The transcript is spliced from 2 exons. The record is from RefSeq and is a predicted model, not a curated record. Lineage: Eukaryota; Viridiplantae; Streptophyta; Magnoliopsida; Poales; Poaceae.